UUCUUGCUUCAAUCACGCCCUCUAUUUUUUUUUUUUUUUUUUUUUACACUUUACUAGUACUCCCCCACCUCGUGAUGAUGAUAGAAGUAGGGGG
Molecule: non-coding RNA, 94 nt
Filed under: Heterosigma akashiwo
Lineage: Eukaryota; Raphidophyceae; Chattonellales; Chattonellaceae
Source: RNAcentral